This 86-nucleotide transfer RNA is filed under the name Ewingella americana. RNAcentral describes it as "tRNA-Ser(cag)". It matches the Rfam family "tRNA". Rfam says of the family: Transfer RNA (tRNA) molecules are approximately 80 nucleotides in length. The record is from RNAcentral. RNAcentral also lists the same sequence under 7 other names. Lineage: Bacteria; Pseudomonadati; Pseudomonadota; Gammaproteobacteria; Enterobacterales; Yersiniaceae.
GCGAUGGUGGCGGAAUUGGUAGACGCGCUAGCUUCAGGUGUUAGUGUCCUUAGGAUGUGAGGGUUCGAGUCCCUCCCUUCGCACCA